CAGAAGCCCGCACCAACACCACAACAGCGAUAGAGGGAGAUCACGCCAGCUUUGUGUGGACGCUGCCAGAAGUACGGAGUGAGUUCUCAAUUAGAACGCCACCUGGGAAGGGGAUGCUGACAGUGCAUGGUGCGAAAAUAUACAUAUGGAUUCAGUACAAAAGUAGGUUGAAGGUCGUGGGAGUUACACGCUUUCAAAACAUGAGCAUGUUGAAGUUUACCCUCUACAAAGUCACAUCAGCUGAUGCAGGCAAAUAUUUCUGUAGAAGAUCCAACGAAGUGAUCCCUGGCAGUCAACACUUUCUGGUGGUAACUGAUCCUGCAGGAACGAAGAGAAGUAUUACAACUAUUAUACAUAUCUUUCAUUAAACAAGAAAACAUCUCAAACGCUGUUGUGGUCGCUGUAUCGUGCUCUGCUGCUGCUGUAGCUCUUGUUGUUGCUGUUGUCUUCCGACGUCGACGACGGAAGAUAAGGCAGGGUCGAGUGUGGUACAAUGGACGUGUCUACCUUACGUGAUUCCAGAGCAAGAGGAAUAUAGUUUCACACAAAACAGCAUUUUAUCAAAGCAGCUGGUAUCCACGAAAGAAAUGGAUAAGAACAAACUGUUUUUGAUAAUUUCUCUUUUGAAUAACCAGGUUAAUUACCUUCAUAUCAUCCAUGCAUGAAACAUUGAACUGCCAUAUAGAUCCAUCAA
This is a long non-coding RNA of Haliotis rufescens (red abalone), 694 nucleotides long. RefSeq lists it as uncharacterized. The transcript has 3 exons. NCBI's taxonomy places the organism in Eukaryota, Metazoa, Mollusca, Gastropoda, Lepetellida, Haliotidae. The record is from RefSeq and is a predicted model, not a curated record.